Molecule: ribosomal RNA, 467 nt
Filed under: uncultured bacterium
Lineage: Bacteria
Description: partial 16S ribosomal RNA
Rfam family: Bacterial small subunit ribosomal RNA
Source: RNAcentral
GACGAACGCUGGCGGCGUGCUUAACACAUGCAAGUCGAACGGAAAGGCCCUGCUUUUGUGGGGUGCUCGAGUGGCGAACGGGUGAGUAACACGUGAGUAACCUGCCCUUGACUUUGGGAUAACUUCAGGAAACUGGGGCUAAUACCGGAUAGGAGCUCCUGCUGCAUGGUGGGGGUUGGAAAGUUUCGGCGGUUGGGGAUGGACUCGCGGCUUAUCAGCUUGUUGGUGGGGUAGUGGCUUACCAAGGCUUUGACGGGUAGCCGGCCUGAGAGGGUGACCGGCCAAAUGGGGACUGAGAUACGGCCCAGACUCCUACGGGAGGCAGGAGGGGGGAAUAUUGCACAAGGGGCGGAAGCCUGAUGCAGCAACGCCGCGGGGGGGAUGACGGCCUUCGGGUUGUAAACCGCUUUCGCCUUUGACGAAGCGGGGGUGACGGUAAUGGGUAAAGAAGCACCGGCUAACUACGU